CUCAGGAAAGUUGUUUGUCUCAUGGGUACCAAGGAAACAGAGAGAGGAGGGACCAGAACAAAUUCAACCUUCCAAGGCCCAGUGACAUAUCUCCUCCAAGGAGGAUACUAGGCUCUCACAAUCUCCCAUUGUUCCUGAAGCUGUGACUUCAUCACCCUGAACACCCACAGGCAUCAUCAGUAGAGACAGGAUCCUUCUUGUCAUUCCCAUAUUCAAAAUAUGUUCCUGCAAGAAGUCCAUUCGAACCCCAGGCCCGGGAUCUUCUUUGUGGCAAGUAUCCUUGGUUUCAGCCUGGGACCUUGCUUCCUUCUUUUUCUCCUUCUCCUGAUGAUUCAUCAAUGCAGAAAGAAAUCAAAGUGCCAAGAGGAAGACCAUCAGGGAAAAGUAAAACUCCUGGAGGCGGAGGAGGAAGAGGAGUCCUGUACUGAAAUCGCUGAGAUCAGAAACUCCAAGAUUGCUCUGGAGGAGUUGGCGUGCCUGUACUGAAACAAGCUGUACUAUGACCCAGGCUAGAGGGUCACAGACCACCACCGUGGUACCCAGAUGGGACCAUGAUGCACCGUGGCCCCUUUAAUACUUAAGUUCUCCAAUAAUAAACUAUUUGGUCCUACUCA
Long non-coding RNA from Myodes glareolus (Bank vole), 614 nucleotides. RefSeq lists it as uncharacterized. Lineage: Eukaryota; Metazoa; Chordata; Mammalia; Rodentia; Cricetidae. The record is from RefSeq and is a predicted model, not a curated record.